UCAUGUAGGGCAGCAUCUGGUGCGGCACCGGGGACACCAGCACGGAGCCGGGGCCCUCGUAGCCUGCGACGGAAUGGAGCGCACGGCACGUAAGAUCUGGAAACUACCAUACAGUCCCUACCUUGAUCCUAACACAGAGAAGACCAAGUUCAACCACUAUUUAAAAUUCACCACCCUGAGUGUCGCCCCCUCGCUUGCGCUGCCCUUCCCGCGGGCAGGCCCAGACUGGGCCCCCGGCCCCGGCCAAAGGCAGCUCCCUUGAUUUGCGGGAUCUUCCGCCGGGCGCGGCCCGAGGCGAAGCGAAGCGAACCCAGCACUUCGCGAAGGCGACCGCACACCCUGGAGAAGGUAGGGGACAGGCUGCUCCAGCUAAAGCAGCGCCCGAGGUGGCAGAGUCGUCCUUUCCCGGGCCACUCAGACCACUCCAGCGGAAGAAGCACACAGUACCGGACUGAGGAGAGACUGGCCAGGGCUGGGUUGGGGAACACUUCGGGCUCCCCAAGAAGGGCCACCUUCAACUCCUGCCUGGCGUUCCUGACUUCUCUCUAGCAAAUAAAGCAGGACCCCCACCAC
Molecule: non-coding RNA, 573 nt
Organism: Heterocephalus glaber (naked mole-rat)
Lineage: Eukaryota; Metazoa; Chordata; Mammalia; Rodentia; Bathyergidae
Source: RefSeq, a predicted model, not a curated record